AAUACAUUUAAAUACCCCCCCCCCGCCCCCUUUAGAGUAACUCAAAUAAGGUACAGCCUAUUUGACACAGGAUCCAACCUUUACCUCAGGGUAAAUUCUUCCCCCACACCCCAAGUGGGCCUAACAGCAGCCACCUUUAAAAAAGCGUCAAAGCUUAACACUUACAAUAAUUUAACUAACCCAGUUAACCCCUACAGACACAUUGAGAAAUUCUAUAACUUUAUAGAAGCUAUUAUGCUAAAACUAGUAACAAGAGGAUCAACCUCUCUUUAAUGCGAACAUAAGUCAGAAAGGACUUACCACUGACACUCACCAAAGAAGUAGAAACUCUUCUAGAAAACCCUACUUAAUCAAAUGUUAACCUAACACAAGAGCAUUACCAGAAAGAUUAUAAGAAAAAGAAGGAACUCGGCAAAUAUAAGUUCCGCCUGUUUACCAAAAACAUCGCCUCCUGUACUCAUAGGAGGUCCAGCCUGCCCAGUGACCCAGUUCAACGGCCGCGGUAUCCUAACCGUGCAAAGGUAGCGUAAUCACUUGUUUUCUAAAUAAAGACUAGUAUGAAAGGCACCACGAGAUCCAAACUGUCUCCCUUUUCUAAUCAGUGAACCUAAUCUCCCCGUGAAAAAGCGGGGAUUACCCAAUAAGACGAGAAGACCCUAUGGAGCUUUAAACACUAUUACACCUGCAAAAUUAACACCAAAAUGUUUUAUAUGCACCAUGAUUAUAUGUUUUCAGUUGGGGUGACUGCGGAGAAAACCCAAUCCUCCAUGAUGAACGGCCUUACGCCUAAACAAUAAGUCACAACUUUAAGUAUCAAUAAAUUGACUCCAUUGACCCAAUACAUUGAUUAACGAACCAAGUUACCCUAGGGAUAACAGCGCAAUCCACUUCAAGAGCCCCUAUCGACAAGUGGGCUUACGACCUCGAUGUUGGAUCAGGGUAUCCUAGUGGUGCAGCCGCUACUAAGGGUUCGUUUGUUCAACGAUUAAAACCCUACGUGAUCUGAGU
RNAcentral lists this ribosomal RNA (1008 nucleotides) under Ischnocnema cf. ramagii CC-2012. RNAcentral's name for it is "partial 16S ribosomal RNA". It matches the Rfam family "Bacterial large subunit ribosomal RNA", at positions 1253 to 2610 of the family's 2925-position model. The record is from RNAcentral. Lineage: Eukaryota; Metazoa; Chordata; Amphibia; Anura; Brachycephalidae.